RNAcentral lists this ribosomal RNA (629 nucleotides) under uncultured Parabacteroides sp. RNAcentral's name for it is "bacterial SSU rRNA". It matches the Rfam family "Bacterial small subunit ribosomal RNA", at positions 88 to 715 of the family's 1533-position model. Lineage: Bacteria; Pseudomonadati; Bacteroidota; Bacteroidia; Bacteroidales; Tannerellaceae. The record is from RNAcentral.
GUGGCGACCGGCGCACGGGUGAGUAACGCGUAUGCAACCUAUCUAUCAGAGGGGAAUAACCCGGCGAAAGUCGGACUAAUACCGCAUAAAACAGGGACACCGCAUGGUGAUAUUUGUUAAAGAAAUUCGCUGAUAGAUGGGCAUGCGUUCCAUUAGGUAGUUGGUGAGGUAACGGCUCACCAAGCCGACGAUGGAUAGGGGAACUGAGAGGUUGGUCCCCCACACUGGUACUGAGACACGGACCAGACUCCUACGGGAGGCAGCAGUGAGGAAUAUUGGUCAAUGGGCGAGAGCCUGAACCAGCCAAGUCGCGUGAAGGAAGAAGGAUCUAUGGUUCGUAAACUUCUUUUGCAGGGGAAUAAAGUGCGGGACGUGUCCUGUUUUGUAUGUACCCUGAGAAUAAGGAUCGGCUAACUCCGUGCCAGCAGCCGCGGUAAUACGGAGGAUCCGAGCGUUAUCCGGAUUUAUUGGGUUUAAAGGGUGCGUAGGUGGUUUUAUAAGUCAGCGGUGAAAGUUUGCAGCUUAACUGUAAAAAUGCCGUUGAAACUGUAAGACUUGAGUGUAAAUGAGGUAGGCGGAAUGCGUGGUGUAGCGGUGAAAUGCAUAGAUAUCACGAAGAACUCCGAUUG